GAUUCCUGGCUUCUCCUUAAUCCGGGGUCCCGCGUGGCAUGUCUAAGAAUUCACCAUUCAAAAUCCCUGCAAUUCUAGAGCCUCUAGGUCAAUUCUCUAUAGCUGACGUGGCAAUAUAAUUCCACAUAAUAUUUUGCUAUUUAAUCUUUAAAACACUAAUGAAAUAAUUUAUCACUCAUAAUUCCUAAAUCCCCUUCGCAAUCUUUUCUGUCUACGCUCUCCAUUCCCCACCCCCACCGGAUCUCCAUUCCCCAAUCACUCGAUCUGCCCCUCCCACCGCCGCGAUUUGCUUCGCCGGACCACCCGGCUCUCCUUCCACCUUCGCCCACCGCUGCGAUAGAUUCUCCCUUCAUUGUCUUUUCUGCACACCGACUCUCCCUUCCACCGCCGCGAUCUGCUUCGCUGGACCACCCGACCCUCCUUCCCCAUUCCCCCACCGCUGUGAUCUGCCCCUCCCACCGUCGUGAUCUGCUGCUCAAGCCUCAAUUUCGUCCCCAAAUUCAUUCUCUCCCCCGUCGCCGAUGGCCCGUUCUUCGUGUGAACAUCAACGAGUGAGAUAUUUCAAUGAAUGUUGCGUACGGGAAGGCCGCAAUCGCCUCUGUCUGCUUCUCUUCGUCGGCCGCCACUCGGCCGUCUGGCUAGAAAUCGCCAUUACCGCCGCUGCCACCUCCUCUGACAUGACGCACGGAUUGCUCUAAAACGUCGGCGCCGCCUCAACCACCAUUGCUCUAACAUGGUAAGUAUUAAAGAUUAUGCUUGACUGGGUUGAAUAUGGAAUGAUUAGUGCUUAAUUUUAGAAAUAACAAAUUUUGGAAAUAUACAAUUAUUGAUGGUAAACUUUAGAAAGACAUUUUUUUGGAAAUAAUUUUAUCAAAGGAAAAUUAAGCCCUAGAUUUUGAUCUAUAAAAGCAACGAGCUUUCACCUCCGAUUCAUUCUCUGGAAAUUAUCGAGGAAGGAAUCGAAGGUGAGAAAAUAAACUUUGAAACUUGAAAGAGUUCACCGAUGCUGACUUUGAUUGCUUUACUUCCCUGUUUUGGUUUCUCUGUGUAUUUUCUCUCUGUAUUUCUUUAUGUAUUUCUGCAUUGGAUUGAUUUCUCUCUGUAUUUCUCCAUAUUGCAGCACCCAAAUCGAAUAUUUUUUGCUUCCUUCCAUCUACAAUUGUGAGUGCUCUUCUUGAAUCACAACUCAAGCUAUCUUGGAACUUCUUUACUUCUUCUUUGGACUUAUAACAUCAGCAAAUCAUAGAGUUGCUGAAGCUGCAAGCAGUGAAGAGAUUUGGAGCUGGAGGACGCUCUGAUCCUUAUAUUUACAUGGCUGCUGGAAUCUUACGAGUGUGAUCCUCACUUUUGGAUCUUUACAGUUGGAUCAUGUUUGCAUGAAGUCAUGAAUAAUGUGAUUGAAAAACUAUGGGAAAGGGUAAGAGAAAUAUUUGGUUAUCAAAGUCCCAUAUGAAAUUUGACUAAUCCACUAGUUCUAUUCUUGAUGAAACUGUAAUUAUCGUGUUUCUAUGUAUUCACUAUACACUUUUCUCUUCAUUAACACGAGUUUGUUUAUGAUGUCGUCGUUGUUGCAUUCGGAUAGGGAAACGAAUUAUCUAAUAGCUGAAUUCGCUAAGUUUGUAAAAUAUGAGUUUAAUUGCUUGCCAGCUCUAUUUUUCUUAAUGGAAUAUUCUUCACUUAAGGGUCUUCUUUGAGUAGCUUAUCAACAAUUAUAUUCUUCUCCCUGGCGUUUUAAGCUUCAACGGGUAGGCUGGUCAUUUUCUUAAAUUUAUUUUAUAAUCUAACAUGUAAAUGAUAUUGUGUUAUAUUUUAUCAUUCUCUAUGCAUGCUCAUUGUUUGUUUGUUUUUUUAAAUGGUUUUAGGUGAUAAGUUCGUAAAUGGAGAAUAAUUCCCUGACAGUACCCAACAUAUUAACCGCAACAGGCUUGAAGUUCGAAUCAUUAUUAGUUAUAGAACUUUUUUUUGUAGCGUGUAACCCGUCGAAUUCUAAAUCUUUUUUUUUUGUACAAUUUAUUGAGAUUUUGAUUAUUUUUUUUUUAA
Salvia miltiorrhiza (redroot sage) is the source of this 2040-nucleotide long non-coding RNA. RefSeq lists it as uncharacterized. The record is from RefSeq and is a predicted model, not a curated record. Lineage: Eukaryota; Viridiplantae; Streptophyta; Magnoliopsida; Lamiales; Lamiaceae. The transcript has 4 exons.